GAUGAACGCUGACAGAAUGCUUAACACAUGCAAGUCAUUGGCGAAGCUGCGCUUGCGCAGUCUAGCCAAGGCGGACGGGUGAGUAACGCGUAAGGAACUUGCCCUGCAGACAGGGAUAACAGACGGAAACGACUGAUAACACCGGGUAUUGUCAGGCUGGCGCAUGCCGGCCUGUUGAAAGCAGACGCUGCAGGAGAGCCUUGCGUCCUAUUAGCUAGUUGGUGGGGUAACGGCCCACCAAGGCGAUGAUCGGUAGCCGGCCUGAGAGGGUGAACGGCCACGAGGGGACUGAGAUACGGCCGUUACGCCUACGGGAGGCAGCAGUAGGGAAUAUUGGAGAAUGGGGGCAACCGUGAUGAAGCAAUUCUGUGUGCACGAAGAAGGUUGUCGGAUUGUAAAGUACUUUCAGAAGGGAAGAAGAAAGUGACGGUACCUGCAGAAGAAGCGACGGCUAAAUACGUG
RNAcentral lists this ribosomal RNA (462 nucleotides) under uncultured bacterium. RNAcentral's name for it is "partial 16S ribosomal RNA". It matches the Rfam family "Bacterial small subunit ribosomal RNA", at positions 28 to 507 of the family's 1533-position model. The record is from RNAcentral.